This 56-nucleotide transfer RNA is filed under the name Rhodotorula taiwanensis. Its description in RNAcentral is "tRNA-Thr". The record is from RNAcentral. Lineage: Eukaryota; Fungi; Basidiomycota; Microbotryomycetes; Sporidiobolales; Sporidiobolaceae.
GGGGAUUGAACCCUGGAUCUUCGCAUUACAAGUGCGAUGCCUUGCCACUUGGCCAC